UGGCUCAGAUUGAACGCUGGCGGCAUGCCUUACACAUGCAAGUCGAACGGCAGCACGGGGGCAACCCUGGUGGCGAGUGGCGAACGGGUGAGUAAUGCAUCGGAACGUGCCCCGUAGCGGGGGAUAACCAGUCGAAAGAUUGGCUAAUACCGCAUACGCUCUACGGAGGAAAGCAGGGGGACCCGCAAGGGCCUUGCACUAUGGGGAGCGGCCGAUGUCCGAUUAGCUAGUUGGUGGGGUAAAGGCCUACCAAGGCGACGAUCGGUAGCUGGUCUGAGAGGACGACCAGCCACACUGGGACUGAGACACGGCCCAGACUCCUACGGGAGGCAGCAGUGGGGAAUUUUGGGACAAUGGGCGCAAGCCUGAUCCAGCCAUGCCGCGUGCGGGGAAGAAGGGCCUUCGGGGUUGUAAACCGGCUUUUGGGCAGGGAACGAAACGGGCGCGGGGCUAAUACCUCGCGCUAAUGACGGGUACCUGCAGAAUAAAGCACCGGGCUAAACUACGUGCCAGGCCGCCGCGGGUAAACACC
This 532-nucleotide ribosomal RNA is filed under the name uncultured Sutterellaceae bacterium. Its description in RNAcentral is "bacterial SSU rRNA". It matches the Rfam family "Bacterial small subunit ribosomal RNA", at positions 20 to 529 of the family's 1533-position model. The record is from RNAcentral. Lineage: Bacteria; Pseudomonadati; Pseudomonadota; Betaproteobacteria; Burkholderiales; Sutterellaceae.